CUCCACAAGCGUUGCAGUCCCAAUUUGGAUCACCAAUAUCAGAAUAACCUAUUAAAAAAUUUGAUAAAAGAAACAUCUUAUAUGUAUAAUAACUUAUGGAUUGUAUAAGUAUAUAGUAGCUAUAUUUAAAAUUGAAAUUGGUGAAUUCAUUAAAAUCUGGAAUGAAUUGAACCUUCAUCUUGAACAUUGUUGUCAUUAUUAGUAGGGUGUUGAUCCUCCUCAUCCGAACUGGAUGCAGUACUAUAAUCCAUAUAAUUAUCUUCUGAUUCACUUUGUGAUGAAGUAGAAUUGUCAGAAUUGGCGUCAAAGUCUAAGUUCAAAUCAGGAACUUUUCUUUUUUGUUUGGCACAUU
This 352-nucleotide long non-coding RNA is filed under the name Trifolium pratense (red clover). RNAcentral describes it as "long non-coding RNA (TPRA_LNC000016)". The record is from RNAcentral. Lineage: Eukaryota; Viridiplantae; Streptophyta; Magnoliopsida; Fabales; Fabaceae.